CCAGUGUGGCCGUAAGCGGUGUCGGGGAAAUCGCCAUAGCCAAGGCAUGACGCGAAUCCAUUGGGAGGAUUCUGCUCGUAGAGGAACUGGAUGACCGUCUCCACAUUCUUCUGGAACUGGCUCCCUUGGGUGGUCUUGCGGGUGGCGUUAUACACGACACCAGGUUUGGUGUCGCUGCUUGGCUCGUCGGGUGGAAUGCCUUGCGCUGCCGAG
Molecule: long non-coding RNA, 213 nt
Filed under: Selaginella moellendorffii
Lineage: Eukaryota; Viridiplantae; Streptophyta; Lycopodiopsida; Selaginellales; Selaginellaceae
Description: long non-coding RNA (SMOE_LNC000124)
Source: RNAcentral